Small nuclear RNA from Salvator merianae (Argentine black and white tegu), 70 nucleotides. The record is from Ensembl. Lineage: Eukaryota; Metazoa; Chordata; Lepidosauria; Squamata; Teiidae.
GUNGCUGUUUGGCAGCACAUAUACUAAAAUUAGAACAAUACANAGAAGAUUAGCAUGGCCCCUGUGCAAG